Aquila chrysaetos chrysaetos is the source of this 367-nucleotide long non-coding RNA. RefSeq lists it as uncharacterized. The record is from RefSeq and is a predicted model, not a curated record. The transcript has 3 exons. Lineage: Eukaryota; Metazoa; Chordata; Aves; Accipitriformes; Accipitridae.
UAAUUGGAGGGAUAGCCAUGAUGAAGACUAUGGAGGUGGAUAAUGAAGUCUCAUGCUGUGUCUGAAGUGAAGACUGCAUACAGACACUUUGGAUCCAGCCAUCUUGUUUGAAGCAGAAGCAAUGCUUGGAGAAAGGGAUUAAGACUUCACAUGAAAUCUCAGGCAUUUUCCAACAGAAAAAUGAAGUCAUGGAGCAAACAGUCAACGUAGUUCCCACACACAAUAAAAUACAAAGAUGCAGCAGAGCUUCUGGGGCUUGAAGAUAUUAUUCCUCUAGCAAGUCCCCUACUUUCACAUAAAGGAUGUUCUGUAGUGCAGAAAGGCAUUACAACAAAAGGUAUCAAAGGCAAAUCCAGCUGUCUUGGGG